This is an RNA transcript of Poecile atricapillus (Black-capped chickadee), 3015 nucleotides long. It is a transcript of the gene named cartilage acidic protein 1, with no coding region annotated. The record is from RefSeq and is a predicted model, not a curated record. Lineage: Eukaryota; Metazoa; Chordata; Aves; Passeriformes; Paridae. The transcript has 16 exons.
CGCCCGUUCUUAAGGCGCCGCGCGGCCGGAGCGGCCCCGUCGGGAGCCGGGAGCGGUGCGGCCGCAGGCGGGAGGCGAGGCGAAGCUGCGGGAUGCGCUCCCGCCGCCGUGGGGGUGCGGGGCGGCCCCCCUGGCCCGUGUCCAGGAUGCUGGCGUUGUGCCUGCUGUCCCUGGCCUGGCUCAGCGAGGGCUCCCAGCGCAGCGAGCCCAUGUUUGCAGCCGUCACCCACCGCCUUCUCCCGCCCGACUACGACAGCAAUCCCACACAGCUCAACUAUGGCGUGGCUGUCACCGACCUGGAUGCUGAUGGUGACUUCGAGAUUGUGGUGGCAGGGUACAAUGGCCCCAACCUGGUGCUCAAGUAUGACAAGGCACGGGGUCGGCUGGUGAACGUGGCAGAGGAUGAGCGGGGCUCCCCGUACUAUGCACUGCGGGACCGGCAGGGCAACGCCAUCGGUGUGACAGCCUGUGACAUCGACGGCGAUGGCCGCGAGGAGAUCUACUUCCUAAACACCAACAACGCCUUCUCUGGCAUGGCCACCUACACAGACAAGCUCUUCAAGCUCCGCAAUGGGCGCUGGGAGGACAUCCUGAGUGACGAGGUGAACCGGGACGUGGCCAGCCGCUUUGCUGGGCGUUCUGUUGCCUGCGUGGACCGGACGGGCUCCGGCAGGUACUCCAUCUACAUCGCCAACUAUGCCAGCGGCAACGUGGGCCCCCAUGCCCUGAUUGAGAUGGAUGUGGCUGCCAGUGACCCUGCCCGCGGUGUCGUGGUGCUGGUGGAUGUGGCCGCCCAGGCUGGCGUCAGCAAGUACACAGGAGGCCGUGGGGUGGCCGUGGGCCCCAUCCUGAGUGACAGUGCCUCUGACAUAUUCUGCGGUAAUGAGAACAGCCCAAACUUCCUCUUCCACAACCGGGGGGACGGGACGUACAGGGAUGUGGCAGCUGCUGUGGGGCUGGAUGACCCCUACCAGCACGGACGCGGUGUGGCGCUGGCUGACUUCAACCGCGACGGCCGGGUGGACAUCGUCUAUGGCAACUGGAACGGGCCUCACCGCCUCUACCUGCAAAGUGGAGCUCCUGGGCGUGUCCGAUUCCGGGACAUCGCCACCCCCAAGUUCUCCAUGCCGUCCCCCGUUCGCACCGUCAUCGCAGCCGACUUCGACAAUGACCAGGAGCUGGAGGUUUUCUUCAACAACAUCGCUUACCGCGGCUCCUCCGCCAACCGCCUCUUCCGGCUCAUCCGCAGAGAACACUCAGACCCCAUUGUGGAAGAGCUGAAUCCAGGGGAUGCAUUGGAGCCAGAGGGACGGGGCACAGGAGGUGCAGUGACAGAUUUUGAUGGCGAUGGGAUGCUGGACCUCAUCCUAUCCCAUGGUGAGUCCAUGGCACAGCCAAUCUCCAUCUUCAAGGGCACUCAGGGCACCAGCAACAACUGGCUGCGUGUCAUCCCCCGUACCCGCUUCGGGGCCUUUGCGCGGGGGGCCAAAGUGGUGCUGUUCACCCGGCGCAGCGGGGCCCACCUGCGCAUCAUUGACGGGGGCUCCGGCUAUCUCUGCGAGAUGGAGCCUGUGGCGCACUUCGGACUGGGGCGUGAUGAAGCCAGCAGCCUGGAGGUGACCUGGCCAGAUGGCCGUGUGGUGUCACGAGCUGUGGCGAGCAGUGAGACCAACUCUGUCCUGGAGAUCCCCUACCCUCUGGAUGUGGAGGAGCCACUCAUGCCUGCCCCGCUGGAGUGCGGGCAGGGAUUCUCCCAGCACGAGAAUGGACGCUGUGUAGACACAAAUGAGUGCACUGAGUUCCCCUUCAUCUGUCCCCGCGACAAGCCCCUCUGCAUCAACACCUAUGGCGGGUACCGCUGUCGCAGCAACAAGCGCUGCAGCCGGGGCUUUGAGCCAAACGAGGAUGGCACAGCUUGCGUGGCUCAAGUGGCCUUUUUUGGGGGAUAUCCCUCUGCUGGGAGCUGGCCUGGGCUCCCUCACAGUGCCCUCCUCCCUCUAGUCCUCGGACUCUGCCUUUGUCUCUAUGCACUUUAACCCCUGCCCAUAACAUGCCAGAGCAGCCUUGGUGGAAGGAUGGGCUGGCCUCUGCCUGUCUCUCUUUUUCUGUCCACAUCGAGCCACCCUGGAAGUGCCAGCUGGGACAUACUGGGCUGAUCUGCAGUGGGACCGGCACAGACCUGGCUGUCCUGUGCACCAUCUCUGGGAAAGCAGCCCUGGGGCAGCCUGGCAGUGCCCCUUCCCCUGCACACCCCACUGCCCCAGUGCUAUUCCUGCCAUGCUGGCACCUCCCUGGUGGUCACUUGCUCCGUCGCCUCGAUACCGUACAGUGUGCCUGCUGGUUUGGCCUGCGACGUGUGUGCUUUGCCUGCCCCCUCCUCGGUGACGGGAACCACCUCCCCAGCCCUGGCAGAGGAGGGUCUUCCCAGCCCUGCAGGGACAGGAUCCUCCUGGUCUGUUUUUUAACAUAUUGACCCUACUGUUUGGAGUCUGACCCUGCUUAGUCCCAACAGUCUUCCAGCCCCUCUCCCAGAGAACCCCUAAUAAACUAUAUCCCAUCUAUUAACCUGGUCUGCUGAGCUCUGCAUGCCAGGGCUGUGCUUGUUCUUCUGCCCACCCCACCCUGGGGCUGCACAGGGAGGGAGCCCAGGAGGGGGAACAUCCCCAGCGAUUCCCUCCCCAGGGCUGGGAUCUGGCUGCAGGGUGAUGGUGCCCCUGGCCCAGCUCUGCACUCAGACUACAGCAAAAUGUGCAGCUCUGAAGGGGCUGGGGUACAGCAAGCUGCACUGCCUGCACCCCAACAACAGGGCUGUACUGCUUUUCCCCCUGAAUGCUAUAACCCCACGCUGCUCUCUUUACCCCCAUCAGACAUCAACGAGUGUGCUCAGGGCUUGCACAACUGCAGCCAGCUCUGCAUCAACACCCCUGGGGCACACACCUGCCUCUGCCACCCAGGCUUCCGUCCCCUUGAUCUGGCUGCCAGCCGGUGCCUGGACAUAGAUGAGUGUCAGGCACA